RNAcentral lists this long non-coding RNA (234 nucleotides) under Lathyrus oleraceus (garden pea). RNAcentral describes it as "Pisum sativum (pea) long non-coding RNA (PSAT_LNC024192)". Lineage: Eukaryota; Viridiplantae; Streptophyta; Magnoliopsida; Fabales; Fabaceae. The record is from RNAcentral.
GUAAGUAGAAUGGCUCGCCUUGUGAGCGAGUGCGUGGCAUACAAAUCAACGAAAGAAAGAAAAGAAAAAAAAGCCUUAGUCUCUACAUCGUAACAGAAGAGUUACGAUAUCGACUAAAUAAAAGUCCCCGGCAACGGCGCCAAAAACUUGAUCGCAACUUUAUGAGUCGAAUUUGGGGUACAAACUGCAAGUGCACAGUUCUAUCGCGUAGUUUUAAAAGAUAUCGAUCCCACA